RNAcentral lists this long non-coding RNA (567 nucleotides) under Homo sapiens (human). RNAcentral describes it as "non-protein coding lnc-ATP6V0A1-2:1". The record is from RNAcentral. Lineage: Eukaryota; Metazoa; Chordata; Mammalia; Primates; Hominidae.
AAAAAAGAACGUGGAAAGCAAAUAUAUGAGUAAUUGCAAUAUACUUUCCUUCUUGUAUUAGUCAUCUAGGGCUUCCAUAACAAAAUACUGCAGACUGGGUAACUUAACCAACAGAAUUUAUUUUCUCACAGUUCUGGAGGCUGGAAGUCUAAGACCAAAGUGUUGGUAGGUUUGGUUUUUCCUGAGGCCUCUUUUCUUGGCCUGUAGAUGGCCACCUUCUUGCUGUGUCCUCCCAUGGCCUUUUGUCUGUGUGUGACCACUCCUGGUGCUUUUUCCUCUUCUGAAAAGGACACUGGGCCGGGCGUGGUGGCUCACCCCUGUAAUCCCAGCACUUUGGGAGGCCAAGGCAGGCGGAUCACCUGAGGUCGGGAGUUCGAGACAAGCCAACAUGGAGAAACCCCAUCUCUACCGAAAAAACAAAAUUAGCCGGGCUAAUCCAACAGGACUGGUGUCCUUUUUUGUGGGGGGGGACGGAGUCUUGCUCUGAAGUGAGGAGCCCCUCCGCCCGGCAGCCGCCCCCUCUGAGAAGUGAGGAGCCCCCUCCACCCGGCAGCCACCCCGUCUGGG